GUCCACGCCGUAAACGAUGUCGAUUUGGAGGCUGUGUCCUUGAGACGUGGCUUCCGGAGCUAACGCGUUAAAUCGACCGCCUGGGGAGUACGGCCGCAAGGUUGAAACUCAAAGGAAUUGACGGGAGCCCGCACAAGCAGUGGAGUAUGUGGUUUAAUUCGACGCAACGCGAAGAACCUUACCUGGUCUUGACAUAGUAAGAACUUUCCAGAGAUGGAUUGGUGCCUUUGGGAACUUACAUACAGGUGCUGCAUGGCUGUCGU
Molecule: ribosomal RNA, 263 nt
Filed under: uncultured bacterium
Lineage: Bacteria
Description: partial 16S ribosomal RNA
Rfam family: Bacterial small subunit ribosomal RNA
Source: RNAcentral